GGGUGUAUAAGAGAGCUUCCUUCAGCCCACUCAUGGAUGAGAAUUAGUGGUCGAAUUAGCUGCCGACUCAUUCAUUCAAAUUACUUGGUAGAAAAAUUACGAUCAAUUGUUUUAUGCUACUUCGAUUGACUGAAUGAUGCGGGAGAUAAUUUCUCGCCCCUCCCCCUCCGUACUUGGACUGAAGGGAGCUCCUUUUUCGCCCUUU
Non-coding RNA from Erythranthe guttata (spotted monkey flower), 205 nucleotides. NCBI's taxonomy places the organism in Eukaryota, Viridiplantae, Streptophyta, Magnoliopsida, Lamiales, Phrymaceae. The record is from Rfam.